RNAcentral lists this unclassified non-coding RNA (567 nucleotides) under [Diplodia] cajani. RNAcentral's name for it is "Diplodia cajani sequence contains 18S rRNA gene, ITS1, 5.8S rRNA gene, ITS2, 28S rRNA gene". The stretch from base 193 to 346 matches the Rfam family "5.8S ribosomal RNA". The record is from RNAcentral. Lineage: Eukaryota; Fungi; Ascomycota; Dothideomycetes; Botryosphaeriales; Botryosphaeriaceae.
UGGAAGUAAAAGUCGUAACAAGGUUUCCGUAGGUGAACCUGCGGAAGGAUCAUUACCGAGUUUUCGAGCUCCGGCUCGACUCUCCCACCCUUUGUGAACGUACCUCUGUUGCUUUGGCGGCUCCGGCCGCCAAAGGACCUUCAAACUCCAGUCAGUAAACGCAGACGUCUGAUAAACAAGUUAAUAAACUAAAACUUUCAACAACGGAUCUCUUGGUUCUGGCAUCGAUGAAGAACGCAGCGAAAUGCGAUAAGUAAUGUGAAUUGCAGAAUUCAGUGAAUCAUCGAAUCUUUGAACGCACAUUGCGCCCCUUGGUAUUCCGGGGGGCAUGCCUGUUCGAGCGUCAUUACAACCCUCAAGCUCUGCUUGGAAUUGGGCACCGUCCUCACUGCGGACGCGCCUCAAAGACCUCGGCGGUGGCUGUUCAGCCCUCAAGCGUAGUAGAAUACACCUCGCUUUGGAGCGGUUGGCGUCGCCCGCCGGACGAACCUUCUGAACUUUUCUCAAGGUUGACCUCGGAUCAGGUAGGGAUACCCGCUGAACUUAAGCAUAUCAAUAAAGCGGAGG